UGGAACACGGGCCUCGACUGUUUACCAAAAACAUAGCCCUCGGCCAAUAUGAAAAUAGAUGUAUAGAGGGUGAUGCCUGCCCAAUGGUUGUAUCUAAAAGCAGUUGAUAAAAGUCGACCUCGUAAGGACAAUUGAAUGGCCGCGGUAACACUGACCGUGAUAAUGUAGCGUAAUCAAUAGCCAAUUAAUUGUUGGCCAGUAUGAAUGGCGCCACGAAGGCCCCACUGUCUUAAGGAAAUUCCCAGUGAAAUUGAAUUCGUAGUGAAGAUGCUACGUCCAAUUUGUUAGACGAAAAGACCCCGUUGAGCUUUACUGGGGCACUUACACGGCCCUCGGCCUUCCCGUGCCCGGGAACCGGCCGAAUUUAAAUGGGUGGUUUAGACUAUGUGGCAGCCCCCCGCCGGGGCAGAUGAAACCCCACUCCCCCAUGUCAAAGGGGCUAACCCCCCCCUUGGGGGGGACAGUGUAAGUAGGACAGUUUGGUUGGGGCGACCGCCUUUUAAAGAGUAACGAAGGUGCGCUUAAGGUGCGCAAUUAAUGACUGAAGCCUGACUGCGAGGGGGAUACCCCGAGCAGACACCCCCCAAGCCCGCCCGAGGGCGGCGGUGGGGUGGGCCAUAGUGACCCGUUAAUUUAGAGUGGAAUAGUUAACGAUCAACGAAUAAAAG
RNAcentral lists this ribosomal RNA (668 nucleotides) under Palythoa heliodiscus. Its description in RNAcentral is "partial 16S ribosomal RNA". It matches the Rfam family "Bacterial large subunit ribosomal RNA", at positions 1783 to 2462 of the family's 2925-position model. The record is from RNAcentral. Lineage: Eukaryota; Metazoa; Cnidaria; Anthozoa; Zoantharia; Sphenopidae.